RNAcentral lists this ribosomal RNA (427 nucleotides) under uncultured bacterium. RNAcentral's name for it is "partial 16S ribosomal RNA". It matches the Rfam family "Bacterial small subunit ribosomal RNA", at positions 355 to 774 of the family's 1533-position model. The record is from RNAcentral.
UGGGGAAUAUUGCACAAUGGGCGCAAGCCUGAUGCAGCCAUGCCGCGUGUAUGAAGAAGGCCUUCGGGUUGUAAAGUACUUUCAGCGAGGAGGAAGGCGUUGUGGUUAAUAACCGCAACGAUUGACGUUACUCGCAGAAGAAGCACCGGCUAACUCCGUGCCAGCAGCCGCGGUAAUACGGAGGGUGCAAGCGUUAAUCGGAAUUACUGGGCGUAAAGCGCACGCAGGCGGUCUGUCAAGUCGGAUGUGAAAUCCCCGGGCUCAACCUGGGAACUGCAGCCGAAACUGGCAGGCUAGAGUCUUGUAGAGGGGGGUAGAAUUCCAGGUGUAGCGGUGAAAUGCGUAGAGAUCUGGAGGAAUACCGGUGGCGAAGGCGGCCCCCUGGACAAAGACUGACGCUCAGGUGCGAAAGCGUGGGGAGCAAACA